GUAGAAAUAAAGCUACGAAACCAACGUGAUUUAUGCAAAAAAGAAGCAAACGUAUGAUCGGAAAACAACGAUUUCAAACCUCGACAAAAGCUAUACCCAAGUAGCAAGUCAUAGUGACAUCUGAAUAAUCAACAAGAUAUAUUCCUCAAGAAAAA
Molecule: long non-coding RNA, 155 nt
Organism: Nematostella vectensis (starlet sea anemone)
Lineage: Eukaryota; Metazoa; Cnidaria; Anthozoa; Actiniaria; Edwardsiidae
Exons: 2
Source: RefSeq, a predicted model, not a curated record